GUGUUCUCUUCGGUAGCACAUAUACUAAAACUGCAACAAUACAGGGAGAUUAGCAUGGCCCCUACAUAAGGACGACAUGCACAUUCAUGAAGUGCUCCAUAUUUUU
RNAcentral lists this small nuclear RNA (106 nucleotides) under Procavia capensis (Cape rock hyrax). The record is from RNAcentral. Lineage: Eukaryota; Metazoa; Chordata; Mammalia; Hyracoidea; Procaviidae.